Arachis ipaensis is the source of this 1407-nucleotide non-coding RNA. NCBI's taxonomy places the organism in Eukaryota, Viridiplantae, Streptophyta, Magnoliopsida, Fabales, Fabaceae. The record is from RefSeq and is a predicted model, not a curated record.
AUUUGUUGAUUCCGACAAAUUUCGUUGACCGCAUCUGUUAAUACCAUCCACUUUUGAGCUACCUCUUUUGCGCUACAGCUCCGGCUUUUGUGCGGCAAUGCUUAGUUAAUGAACUUCGAGGAUAUACGCUUUCCUGGCGCUGCUUUCCUUGACUGUGGCCUUCUCACUGCGCAGUGCAUUGUUUUUAAUUGGGACUAAGGCAAUGUGUGCUUUGGCAAGAGAUCGAAGAAUAGUUUGGGCUUCUAUUCAUCAACCAUGCAGUGAAGUGUUUGAACUCCUGGAUCAGUUGUACUCGCUCGAAGGUAGCAGAACUGUUUAUUGUCGCCAAGCUUCUGAGGCAUAUGAGGUACCAGUCUACCAAUCUAUUCACUUUUGUGCACGUCAUAAUCUUGCCUAUUGCAACAUGCCAUGACUUCCUAUUUGCUGAAUUCCCCCGCUAAGCUAACAUUGGCAACGUAACUUUUGCUAUUCAGAUUUGGUGCUGAUCAUUAAACUGGUUAACAACCGAGUAGAUGCAAUCAACCAAUGCCUCUACACGUCCUCCGAUUUAUUUUUGGCUGCCAAGUAUAUUCUUUUGCUCCUAAUAAUUUUUGUUUCCCAAAUUUAUUCAUUUGUUAUUUACUUCUAUGCUUAUCUGUUAGCCCAGCAUUUUCAUUGCAAAUACAUUUACAUAUACAUCAACGCUUUUGAAAUCUGUCACAGCGCUCAUUUUUGACUAUGACGUCCCCGUACCUUUUUUGCUUGGUUCCCAUGCAUCUCUCCAUGUAUGAUACAUCCAUCCGACUUCCCCAUUCAUCUAAUCUUGCUUCCAUUUCAAUAUGCUUGGUGAUUCAACGCAAUUAAUUAGUUUAGGUCUGUUCUAUUCUUUCCUAUCCAUCCUGUUCAACCCUGUGAAUCUCUCGUGACAAGACAGAUUCCUACCUGGAGUUAAUGAACUUCAUUUUCCAUACUUGCUUCAACACUUACUGUGAAUUACAUUUAAUGAUACUUUAUCUUCUUUUAGUCAUACUUAUGUCAGGUGUAAUUAAACUAAGUUAUUAUGAAUUCUAUUUUUAGUCUUCGGACUACUUGGUUGCUGACUGAUCUCAUUUCAUGAUCUGCAUUUAUUGAGUACCUGUUUCUUAUUAAUUUUCGUCACGCUAUACUCCAAAGGCGGGAACUUUUUCUUCUUCAAAUUUUUUAACUUUGUCUGAUUCCUGCGUAUAAAGUGCUCCCUAUAUUGUCCGUAAUUAAUUCUGAACCGUCAACAUAUAUUAUUUACUAUAUAUUGUAUAUUAUAAUAUAUUAUAUAUUAUAUAUGCUGGUCAUUAUCAUGAUUAUUUAUCGUUGUAUUACAUGCUAAAUAUCUCUAAUGGGUUAUUUAAUAAGCCCUCUGAUCAUCACAUUAGCUGGGAUUCUAUUUACUGU